CAGUGAAUAGUUUUAAAAAAAACAUUAAUUUUGGAGAUUAAAAAUAAGUAAUACUUUUUACUGA
RNAcentral lists this transfer RNA (64 nucleotides) under Urolabida sp. FS-2019. Its description in RNAcentral is "tRNA-Pro". The record is from RNAcentral. Lineage: Eukaryota; Metazoa; Arthropoda; Insecta; Hemiptera; Urostylididae.